CCUGUCCGAAGCACUUCAUCACACUUGUAGCCAUGACUGGCUAACGUGAUCCUCCGGACAAAGCCUCCUCAGCACCCGGUCAUCAAAGAAUUAACCGAGAGACCAACACCUUCAACUUCGUGGUCGAGCUCCGCUUGGACUUCAAGCCGAGAGACAACGAACGCCUCCAGCUUCGUGGUCAAGCACCCUACGAGGUCAAAUUAUCUGGAAGCCACAGCCUGACCCUGCCUUACCGGACUCUAGACCUGUAACCCAAAACCAACAUAAGGACUCAGAAAUAGGAGGGUCGCUGAGAACACUAGAGUACACCCAGAUUGAAGACUGCUGCCUGGUUUGGAUUUACUACAGAUGGGAUGGGAAGAUGGGCAAAUCUAAAAUGCCUUUGAAAAUGAAGUCUGCACACAUAUUAAGUCUUUUACAGUAAAUGCAGCUGGGUCCUGGUUUUUGAAUUACUCUUCAGCUGCAAGUGAAACCUUAUAUGAUGCACUUUAUAUUUUCUGAAAAUCAAUCCAAUGUCUUUUCUUCUCAAAAGCUGACUUAAAAAUAAACUGAAUAUAAAACCCCCAUGUUAAA
Molecule: long non-coding RNA, 573 nt
Organism: Grammomys surdaster
Lineage: Eukaryota; Metazoa; Chordata; Mammalia; Rodentia; Muridae
Exons: 2
Source: RefSeq, a predicted model, not a curated record